This is an RNA transcript of Quercus lobata, 2795 nucleotides long. It is a transcript of the gene named Protein kinase superfamily protein, with no coding region annotated. The record is from RefSeq and is a predicted model, not a curated record. The transcript is spliced from 2 exons. NCBI's taxonomy places the organism in Eukaryota, Viridiplantae, Streptophyta, Magnoliopsida, Fagales, Fagaceae.
CAUGAAUUAACAAUACCCAUAUGAUUAUCCAACUGUAAAGCAAACCCACAUUGGAUACCUACUGAUACACAAAUGAAGAUCCCUGUCAAUUCCAUGCCCAUUUGUUCUUCUUCAUUUCUUGUUACCAAACCAAACCCACUAACCUCCAAAAACCCAAACCACCCCACCAUGCCUUCAAGACCCUUAGCUCCAACUCCUAGCUUCACUUCUCCAGCUCCAAGUUUCUUCACCAGAACCAGGGUCUUGUUCUUGACCCUGACCAUCUCAGCUUCCAUUGUUAUAUUCCUCUCAAUCCUUUACUUUCUUUAUCACAUCUGGCACUCCCUUGUACACAGAGCUAAAACCAUCCCCUUUGACUCCAGUGCUCCUCUCAAGCUCCAAAGAUUCUCAUACAGAGAGCUAAAGCAAGCCACCAAUGCCUUUGACACUGCCAAUGUCAUAGGCAAAGGUGGGUCAGGUACUGUGUUUAGAGGAAUACUCAGAGAUGGUAAACUCAUCGCUAUAAAGCGUUUGGACACUCUUUCUUUGCAGUCAGAGAGAGAGUUCCAGAAUGAGCUGCAGAUUCUUGGUGGCCUAAGGUCACCAUUUUUAGUCACACUAUUGGGAUACUGUGUGGAAAAGAACAAAAGAGUGUUGGUUUAUGAGUAUAUGCCCAAUAAGAGCCUGCAAGAAUCACUUUUUGGAGAUGGGUGUUUGGGUUUGAGUUGGGAAAGGAGGUUUGACAUAAUAUUGGACGUUGCUAGAGCUCUAGAAUUCUUGCACCUUGGAUGUGAUCCACCAGUGAUUCAUGGUGAUAUUAAGCCCAGCAAUGUUUUGCUUGAUUCUGAGUGUCGGGCAAGGAUUUCGGAUUUUGGUUUGUCAAGGAUUAAGGUGGAGGGUGAGUUUGGUGUGGAUUUGUUCAGCCAGGACUUGGGGAAGAGCCAAGAGCUUUCAGGGAAUUUGGCUGCAGAGACACCAGCUACUGCUACUCCUGUGGAGAGUGCUCAUGAGGUAGAUUUUGCUCUUGCUUUACAAGCUUCCUCUUCAUCCAAAAAUAGUAAGAUGUCUUAUAAUGUUAGAGCUUUAAACUUGAAUUCUUCGAAUUAUAAUGCUAACAUGGCAAAUGAGAGUGAUAUUAAGCCUUGUAGUGCAAAAGGGAAGGAGGUCUCAGUAGUAGACAUUGGUGGGGAUGAUUGGAAUAAUAGAUUUGUGCCUUAUGAUGAUGACUUUUCUAGCAUUUAUCAUAGUAAGGAGUUGAAUUGUAAUGCAUUUUCGGGUGUUGAUGAGGAGGCUGAUACAAAACAAUGGGGGAAGGAUUGGUGGUGGAGGCAGGAUGGGAGUGGUGAAUUGUGUAGUAAGGAUUAUGUUAUGGAGUGGAUAGGGAGUCAGAUUUGCCCAACAACAAAUCCUGAUUGGGAUGAAGAAAAGAAGAGUGUUCCUGAGCAAAACAACUUGGAUGAUUCGACUCCGUUAGAUAAAUUAGAAGAUGUGAAUGAUCCCCAAUUACAAGAAAUUGGAUUUGAAGAUCUUGAUAAAGGGUUGGAUAAAAAAGAGUCAAGGGGCAAGAGAAGUCGUAAGAAGAAGCAGAGAAAGAUACAAGAGUGGUGGAAAGAAGAGCACCUUGAUGAGAUUAGCAAGAAGAGUAGUAAGCUUAAAAAUCUUGAAACCAAGUGGAGGAAAGGCUUCAAAAUACCACAUUUUGGUCUUGGUAGACAGUUUUACUUCCAUAGACGAAAGAACUUUGGGGAGCAAUGUCAAAAUGAAUGUGAUCCAAAUGGGGAGUUCAGUUUUAGAAGGGGAUGGAAGAAAAAGAGCAGCCGUUCUAUUGGCAGUGACAUGUGGAGUGGAGAUCUCUUUAGUCGUGAACUUAGCAGUACCACAAGUAUGAGAGGGACUUUGUGCUAUGUGGCACCAGAAUAUGGUGGGUGCGGGUACUUAAUGGAGAAGGCUGAUAUUUACAGUCUAGGAGUUUUGAUUCUUGUGAUUGUAUCUGGUCGAAGGCCAUUACAUGUUCUUGCCUCCCCAAUGAAGCUUGAGAAAGCAAACUUAAUAAGCUGGUGUCGUCAGUUAGCUCAAGUGGGAAAUGUUUUAGAACUUGUGGAUGAGAGGUUGAAAGAUGAUUAUAAUAAGGACCAGGCAGGCUUGUGUAUAAACCUGGCUCUCACUUGCUUACAGAAAUUGCCAGAGUUGCGGCCAGAUAUUGGUGAAAUAGUUAAGAUAUUGAAAGGGGAGAUGGAUCACCCACCACUCCCACUUGAGUUUUCUCCUCCCCCCUCUUCCAAAUUGUUCAGUAGGUCAAGGAGAAAACAGAAGUCAAAUGCAGAGUAAACUCUGGAUCCUAAUGUUGAUUUACUUUUUCCUUACCAUGUCUUAUUGGGUUCAUGCUGAGUGUAAUAUACAGGAGUGAUGAUUGGUAGCUGUUAUCAGUGAACAGAUUCAGCUGCACUCUUGGAUCAUUGAAAGCAGAUAUUUGAGAAAAGCAAGCUGCCAUCUUUGAGAAAUUGCAUCAAAAUUUGGCAGUCAAUUCAUGAAAUAUAAAGUCUUCGAGGGUAUGCAACAAAGUGGAUAAUUUGAGGUGCAUGUUUCUUGGUUCUAUUAUUUGUAGUCGAAGUGCCUUACAAAAUUGAUAUGAAUUGGUAAAGCAAAUUUGAUAGGAAGGAAGACAACGGAUAUAUAUUUGUCUUCAACUUAGUAAAUUUUCAUUUAAGGGAUACUUUCCCUGCUUGUACCGGUAGAGCAGGUAGGUCCACCAUAACCAUAGUAAUUAAGGCGAUUUCUAUUUCAUCAGACAAUUUAUUCCAUAUUUAAAUGCAGAA